This 482-nucleotide ribosomal RNA is filed under the name uncultured bacterium. Its description in RNAcentral is "bacterial SSU rRNA". It matches the Rfam family "Bacterial small subunit ribosomal RNA", at positions 29 to 506 of the family's 1533-position model. The record is from RNAcentral.
AUUAACGCUAGCGGCAGGCCUAAUACAUGCAAGUCGAGGGGCAGCACGGGUAGCAAUAUCUGGUGGCGACCGGCGCACGGGUGCGUAACGCGUAUGCAAUUUGCCCUUAACUGGGGGAUAGCCUUCCGAAAGGGAGAUUAACACCCCAUAACAUUGCGAGAUGGCAUCAUUUUGUAAUUAAAACUCCGGUGGUUAAGGAUAAGCAUGCGUGUCAUUAGCUAGUUGGUGAGGUAACGGCUCACCAAGGCUACGAUGACUAGGGGAUCUGAGAGGAUUAACCCCCACACUGGUACUGAGACACGGACCAGACUCCUACGGGAGGCAGCAGUAAGGAAUAUUGGACAAUGGUCGAAAGACUGAUCCAGCCAUGCCGCGUGCAGGAUGAAGGCCCUAUGGGUUGUAAACUGCUUUUAUAUGGGAAAAAACGCUUGUUCGUGAACGAGCCUGAUGGUACCAUAUGAAUAAGCAUCGGCUAACUUCGU